This is a ribosomal RNA of 885 nucleotides. It matches the Rfam family "Eukaryotic large subunit ribosomal RNA", at positions 22 to 941 of the family's 3401-position model.
UACYCCCCGGGGACUAGCAUAUCAAUAAGCGGAGGAAAAGAAGACAACAGGGAUUGCCCUAGUAACGGCGAGUGAAGCGGCAACAGCUCAAAUUUGAAAUCUGGCGCAAGCCCGAGUUGUAAUUUGCAGAGGAUGAUUCUGGCGCGGUGCCUUCCGAGUUCCCUGGAACGGGACGCCAUAGAGGGUGAGAGCCCCGUACGGUCGCGUGCUAAGCCUUUGUGAAUCUCCUUCGACGAGUCGAGUAGUUUGGGAAUGCUGCUCAAAAUGGGAGGUAUACGUCUUCUAAAGCUAAAUAUUGGCCAGAGACCGAUAGCGCACAAGUAGAGUGAUCGAAAGAUGAAAAGCACUUUGAAAAGAGGGUUAAACAGUACGUGAAAUUGUUGAAAGGGAAGCGUUUAUGACCAGACUUGGGCUCGGUUGAUCAUCCGGCGUUCUCGCCGGUGCACUCUGCCGGCCCAGGCCAGCAUCAGUUUUUCCCGGGGGAUAAAGGCUUCGGUAAUGUGGCUCUUUCGGGAGUGUUAUAGACCGUUGUGUAAUACCCUGGGGUGGACUGAGGUACGCGCUCCGCAAGGAUGCUGGCGUAAUGGUUAUCAGCGACCCGUCUUGAAACACGGACCAAGGAGUCGUCUUCGUAUGCGAGUGUUCGGGUGUCAAACCCCUACGCGGAAUGAAAGUGAACGUAGGUGAGAGCUUCGGCGCAUCACCGACCGAUCCUGAUGUUCUCGGAUGGAUUUGAGUAAGAGCAUACGGGGCCGGACCCGAAAGAAGGUGAACUAUGCCUGUAUAGGGUGAAGCCAGAGGAAUCUCUGGUGGAGGCUCGCAGCGGUUCUGACGUGCAAAUCGAUCGUCAAAUAUGGGCAUGGGGGGCGAAAGACUAAUCGAACC